This 505-nucleotide ribosomal RNA is filed under the name uncultured bacterium. Its description in RNAcentral is "bacterial SSU rRNA". It matches the Rfam family "Bacterial small subunit ribosomal RNA", at positions 28 to 518 of the family's 1533-position model. The record is from RNAcentral.
GACGAACGCUGGCGGCGUGGAUUAGGCAUGCAAGUCGGACGGUAGGGCUUUAUCGUAAGAUAGAGUUUGAGAGUGGCGAACGGGUGAGUAACACGUAGGAAUCUACCCUUAAGACGGGGACAACCCAGGGAAACUUGGGCUAAUACCGGAUGAGAGUGCGAGAGAUUGCAUUUAAAAGGAUGGCGAAAGUUGUCGCUUAGGGAUGAGCCUGCGGUCUAUUAGUUAGUUGGUGAGGUAAGAGCUCACCAAGGCGAUGAUAGAUAGGCGGCCUUAACGGGUGGUCGCCCACACUGGGAUUGAGAUACGGCCCAGACUCCUACGGGAGGCAGCAGUCGAGAAUAGUCUACAAUGGCCGGAAGGCUGAUAGUGCGACGCCGCGUGAACGAGGGAGCCCUUCGGGGUGUAAAGUUCUUUUAUAUGUGAGCAGUGCUUCUUAUAUUAACAGUAUGGGGAGAGAGAUAUUAGCAUAUGAAUAAGCAACGGCUAACUCCGUGCCAGCAGCCGG